RNAcentral lists this ribosomal RNA (77 nucleotides) under Bacillus benzoevorans. RNAcentral describes it as "partial 16S ribosomal RNA". It matches the Rfam family "Bacterial small subunit ribosomal RNA", at positions 1457 to 1533 of the family's 1533-position model. RNAcentral also lists the same sequence under 5 other names. Lineage: Bacteria; Bacillati; Bacillota; Bacilli; Caryophanales; Bacillaceae. The record is from RNAcentral.
CUAAGGUGGGACAGAUGAUUGGGGUGAAGUCGUAACAAGGUAGCCGUAUCGGAAGGUGCGGCUGGAUCACCUCCUUU